UUACGGCUUGGAUCCGUGGAUGGCGCCGUGGGACCGCUGGGAGGUUGACUGGCCGCGGGAUCUCUUGGAGAAGCUGGGAGGCAGACGAACGGCUGGACUGCAUUCGAACGGGCGCCUGGGAGGAGGCGUGGAUCACGGACGCGGCGUCGGAGGCUGGAGAUGUGGACGGCUUGGUGCUGGGAUCAUGGAUUGAAAUCGGGAAUGGAAGAUUGGCUGCGGUUCCUUGACGAUGCAUCGCGGGAUCACUGGAGGGGACGGUCGUCCGGGUCCACACGGAAGAGGGAGGAGCUGCAGACGCAUGAUUUUUGUGAGGAAUGAAUGCACGGAACGGCUGGGACGGGCUGGAUCUCUGCAUGCAUCACAGGAUCUUGGACAN
RNAcentral lists this long non-coding RNA (376 nucleotides) under Phoenix dactylifera (date palm). RNAcentral's name for it is "long non-coding RNA (PDAC_LNC001311)". The record is from RNAcentral. Lineage: Eukaryota; Viridiplantae; Streptophyta; Magnoliopsida; Arecales; Arecaceae.